Molecule: RNA transcript, 2125 nt
Organism: Diospyros lotus (date-plum)
Lineage: Eukaryota; Viridiplantae; Streptophyta; Magnoliopsida; Ericales; Ebenaceae
Gene name: probable peptide/nitrate transporter At3g43790
Exons: 19
Source: RefSeq, a predicted model, not a curated record
AUCAAUACGUAAGUCUUUGUUACUGGAUGAGUUUCUCCAAAUCCCGCGUCAGCUGGGGCGCAGAUGAUCUUGCUGGGAUACUUCGGUGGCUCGCCCUUUAAAUAUCGGCCCUUUGAAAGACUGCCUCUUGUCUUGUCUCUUGCCGCUUGAUUCACGCAUUUCAUAUUCCACGGACGAUUCUUCCUUCGGUUCUUCCUCCUUCCCUCCUUCCCUCCUUUGAGUUGGGUGCCAGCCAACUGUUUGAAUUUUGAUUGAUUCUUCACAGACACAACGCUUCAAUCGCUUUGUUCGAUGGACGAGAAUUCAAGUACUUCGCUGCUAUUGGGCAAGAACGAAAAAGUUCACUUUCACGAUUGCCCUGGUUGUCAGACGGACCGUCUCAAACAGACGAACACUGGAAUUCCUUACAAAUUCCUCUCCUACAUCUGGCUUGUCUCUCUAUGCACUGCUCUUCCAACAUCAUCUCUGUACCCGUUUGUCUACUUUAUGAUUAGGGACUUCCAUAUUGCAAUAAGAGAGGAAGAUAUUGGUUACUAUGCAGGAAUUUUGGGAUCCUCAUUUAUGGUUGGAAGAGCUUUGACAUCUGUUCUCUGGGGGAUCUUAGCUGAUCGAUAUGGUCGAAAACCUAUCGUUUUAGUUGGCACAUUAUCAGUGUUCAUAUUCAAUACUCUGUUUGGGCUAAGUACAAACUUCUGGAUGGCACUUUCUAUGAGGUUUCUUCUUGGAUGUUUCAAUAGCCUUCUCGGCACCAUACGGGCAUAUGCUUCAGAAAUAUGUAGGGAAGAGCAUCAAGCUCUAGCAUUGUCUGUUGUUAGUACAUCUCGAGGAAUAGGAUUGAUUAUUGGACCUGCAAUUGGAGGCUUCUUUGCACAGCCUGUGGAGAAGUAUCCAGAUAUAUUUUCUGGAAUUUCCUUGUUUGGAAGGUUUCCUUACUUAUUACCUUGCCUUAUAAUAUCACUUUAUUCUAUGGGAGUAUUUAUUUCUUGUUGGUGGCUUCCCUUCUGCAGCGAGUUUUGUACUCAUGGAAACUUUAUGGAUGAAACAUAUCCAUGGAGACAUACAACAGAAACCUUGCACAUUCACAAAAAGAAGGCAGAAGAAAGUUGUGGCACCUGCCAUGUGUUAGAAGAUUCUUCAAAUUCAGUUGACAAGAGAGGGGACAUCGUUGAAGCUAGAGAAAUAAAAAGUUCUUAUUAUGGAAGUUUGUUAAAGAAUUGGCCUUUGAUGUCGACAAUCAUUGUUUAUUGUGUUUUCUCACUUCAAGAAGUUGCUUAUUCAGAAAUAUUCUCAUUGUGGGCAGUUAGUGACAAAAAAUAUGGUGGCUUGAGUUUUUCUUCACAAGAGGUUGGUGAAGUUUUGGCUAUCUCAGGUUUUGGCCUUCUACUUUUUCAGCUAUUAUUGUAUCCAUCAAUUGAAAAGAUGCUUGGGCCACUUGUAGUUACACGGCUAUCAGCGGUUAUAUCAAUUCCUUUGCUAUCAAUUUAUCCCUACAUAGCAAUGCUAUCAGGUUUAAUUCUUCAUAUGGCAAUUAACCUUGCAUCCAUAUUGAGGAACACAUUGUCGGUAUCUCUAGUCACCGGAAUAUUUAUUUUGUUGAACAAUGCUGUGCCUCAACAUCAAAGAGGAGCUGCUAAUGGGAUUUCUAUGGCUGCAAUGUCUGUUUCCAAGGCAUUUGGCCCAGCAGGAGGAGGUGCUUUAUGAUCCCAAGCCCAGAUAAAGGAGGGUCCUGUUAGGUUGUAUCAACCAUCAGGAAUGAGUUGGAGAUGAAAAGGCACUAAAAGCAGCCACAGUGAAUUAAGGAGAAGCUUGAUGAAUAAUGAUGUGAAGUGAAAACAAAAUAACAUCGAUGAUUAUAGGAUGUUAUAUCACUUACAAGUUUUGAGAAAGGUUGACUAAAACAUACAGGUCAAUAUGGAAAUAUUUUGAGCUACAUCUCCAAAGUUCUUGCAUAAGCUCUCCCAGUCACCAUGCUAAACUGUUCUCUUUGGCACAAAAGCGCCAAGUUGCUGCUUUCCUCCCAGGUGAUCAGCUGGUCUUCUUCGUAUUAAACCUGAUACAGUUCAUUGGGUUGGUGUUGACCUUCAAGCCUUUCCUUGCACGCCCAUGAGCAGAGCCAUUGGUGUCC